This is a long non-coding RNA of Suricata suricatta (meerkat), 188 nucleotides long. RefSeq lists it as uncharacterized. The transcript is spliced from 3 exons. The record is from RefSeq and is a predicted model, not a curated record. Lineage: Eukaryota; Metazoa; Chordata; Mammalia; Carnivora; Herpestidae.
CCUGUGAUUAUAGGACUUGUAACAUGGUGGAGAGUUCCAGCUGGCCCUCACUUUGGCCACAAGGUCUUUACUCAGAAAACCACAGCGGCGUUCCCCUGGAGGAGGCCUGUAGCCCCGGCCGAGUGCAGCAGACAUCCCCAACAGUGGCCGUUUCACCAGACCUCACAACGCCCGUCUGCCGUCUCGGC